Molecule: long non-coding RNA, 2277 nt
Organism: Sciurus carolinensis (gray squirrel)
Lineage: Eukaryota; Metazoa; Chordata; Mammalia; Rodentia; Sciuridae
Exons: 3
Source: RefSeq, a predicted model, not a curated record
GAUAGUGUAGAUCUAAACACAUAUGUGUAUUGAGGAUAAGAGUAAUUAAGACAAAAAAGUAAAAUAGCCUAGCCAAGGAUUUUCCCUUUGACUUUGUCAUUUGAGCCUCAAAAAAUAGUUUCAGAGAAAUAUAACAGGCAUUGAUAGACACAUUUCAUAGAUGAGGAAAGUGAGUCUCAGAAAUGUUAAACUGCUUUCACCAGAUUGCGAAGAGAGUUAGAGGGACAGCUAAGACCUUCUUUCAUCCACCUGCAGGAAAAUCUUUCUCUUCAUGGGAGCUCCUGUGUCAGCCCUCCAGCUCCUCUCAAGGUCUCUGAGCAGGCUCUCUCAGCCCGUGGCCAGGACCCAGGUUCCCUGUCUCCUCAGUCCUCCCCAGAACUACUCACCUGGAAGAGCUCCUGAACCUGAGCAUCCACCCAUUGCUCCAUCUCCAGCCAGCGCUGGAGCUGCCCCAGGUCGUACUUCACUGUUAGUCGGCUGGGUCUCCUGGACCUGGACACCCUAGAGGGGUCUGUGUGGGACUUUGACUCUGAGUCUGUGGAUGAUGUCCUCCUCCUUCUCUCAGAAGUCCACUGAACCUUCUUAUUGGGGUUCUCCCUGUCCGGGUUGGGAGAUGUGCAGGAACCCUGGCUUGAAGACAGCAUGGAAGGACUGGCUUGGGCGAGGAGCUGAGAAAAACUGCCUGUCAGACCAAAAGCACAGAGGGAAAUGAGGAGACAGAAUGGAGGGAGAGGCCAGUGGGAAGGCAGAUGGGAGGAGGGCCAAGGGCCCUGGGAGCGGUGAGGGUCAAAGAUCAACAGGCCUUUGGUGCUGGGAAUGCCAAUCUCCUGGCUCCUUAUUGCCAGCAAGAGGCACUCCAGAGCUGUGCCCAGCUUCCCUUUCUGUAGCUGAUGAGGUCCACAGUAUCAUAACCGUAGACAAGCAGAAGUCAAGAGGCUGCUGUGCCCCAGGAGGAAGAAGGAAGGGAACCUUGGAUCCUGAGGGGUGACGGGACUCCAUCAUGGGUGCCCUUUGGCUCCACCUUUUAAAGGUUCUGCCACCUGACACACUGGGAACCAAGAUUCCAUCACAUGAACCUUUGGGGACACUCAAACCAUAUCCAAACCACAGCAACUUGAAAACCACUGCUACCAACAUUCUGCUGCACAAUCAGUUGCUUCUUUCCCAGCAUACCAUCAUGGUCACCACUAUGCCAGGGGCUAUGGAACACCCCUGAAAAUCUAGAGAAGGGAAGACAUACACCAGCUGCCAACCCCAGCACCCAUAAUGUGGGCAGUGGGUUGGAUGUUGCUGUUCAUGAAAGAAAAUGAUCCUUGGCUACAAGUCCUACUAGGUAAAGCUGCUCUGUGUGAGAAAUGGGGAAGAAUGUUCCCAUUGGGUCGUAAACACAUCAUGAAAAGAUGUGGAAUCUCUUUUGAGGGAGGGAGAGCAUUAAUAGGACUAAUCUUGUUGUGUAGAGAAUGGUCUUUUAAGAGGUUUUCACUUAGUGCAUGAACUUGGCUUCAAGGAGGCCACGGUUUUGUGAAGGACAUAAAACCAGCUCCAUCUGUGAACUGGAACCUCUAAGCUUCCAUGGAUGACACUUCACUGGACGAGAGUGGUCACUGCUGACCUGGAACAGUUCCUUUGUGGGAGAGGAGAGGAACCUGAGCUCAAGAGAUAAGGGGGCAGCCCAUCAAUGAGGGGUGAGAGACUACAAAGAAAAUGUUAAUACAAGUUGAGGGAAGGCCUCAAACGGAACCACUGUGGUCAAGCAGAGAAGUCUGGAUAAGGGAAAUCGCCUGUUUCUCAUUCUGGCAGAAAGGAUGGCUGCCCAGAACUGGAAAGGGUGAUGACACUGAGGCAGACAUCCCAGAUCCCAGGUGCAGCCUGGGAUCACAGGUGCAGCCACCCAGCUUCUGGGUUCUCUUCCCUUCAGGAGAUGGAAAUGAUGUCUUAGGUGUUGGCUACGGAGAGCGAGAUCGUUUGCAUCUGCCUUUCCCCAGCCCCUACCCAAGCUCCUCCCGGCCUGGGACUGGGAAUGCUGGCUCCGACAGGAAAGGGAGACAAGAAGCAGCAGUCAAAGAGCACGACUUGCGCGACUUUGCUGCAGCGUCCCGAACCUGAGUUGGCCUUCGGAGUUCAGGAAGCAGUUCUGGGGCGCAGAGCCCCUCCGGAGGCUGGGCCCUGUGGAGGUCGCCUCGAGGGGACGCGGCUCCGUUCUCCAAGUGCUCUGAGAACCUGGCAGCUCCGGGGGGUCGAGGAUCCCAGGGCGGCAGUGCUGGCAGGGGCCGGAAG